AGCAGCCGCGGUAAUUCCAGCUCCAAUAGCGUAUAUUAAAGUUGUUGCAGUUAAAAAGCUCGUAGUUGAAUUUCGGGAUUGACGUGAUGGUCGUACCUUAAGGGGUAUGAACUGUCGCUGUUGAUUUCUCACCUUCUGGAGAAACUUGAUGUCCUUAAUUGGGUGUCUUGCGGAUCCAGGACCUUUACCUUGAAAAAAUUAGAGUGUUUAAAGCAGGCAUUUUUGCUCGAAUACAUUAGCAUGGAAUAAUAGAAUAGGACGGCAUGGUUCUAUUUUGUUGGUUUCUAGGAUCACCGUAAUGAUUAAUAGGGAUAGUUGGGGGCAUUAGUAUUCAAUUGUCAGAGGUGAAAUUCUUGGAUUUAUUGAAGACUAACUACUGCGAAAGCAUUUGCCAAGGAUGUUUUCAUUAAUCAAGAACGAAAGUUAGGGGAUCGAAGACGAUCAGAUACCGUCGUAGUCUUAACCAUAAACUAUGCCGACUAGGAAUCAGACGAUGUUAAUUUUUUAAUGACUCGUUUGGCACCUUACG
This 529-nucleotide ribosomal RNA is filed under the name uncultured Entrophosporaceae. RNAcentral describes it as "SSU rRNA". It matches the Rfam family "Eukaryotic small subunit ribosomal RNA", at positions 569 to 1092 of the family's 1831-position model. Lineage: Eukaryota; Fungi; Glomeromycota; Glomeromycetes; Entrophosporales; Entrophosporaceae. The record is from RNAcentral.